RNAcentral lists this transfer RNA (65 nucleotides) under Sarcophaga cetu. RNAcentral describes it as "tRNA-His". The record is from RNAcentral. Lineage: Eukaryota; Metazoa; Arthropoda; Insecta; Diptera; Sarcophagidae.
GUUUAAAUAGUUUAAAAAAAAUAUUGAUUUGUGGUGUCAGUGAUGAGAGUUAUUCUCUUUAAAUC